This 163-nucleotide ribosomal RNA is filed under the name uncultured bacterium. RNAcentral's name for it is "partial 16S ribosomal RNA". It matches the Rfam family "Bacterial small subunit ribosomal RNA", at positions 1339 to 1500 of the family's 1533-position model. The record is from RNAcentral.
UAAUGGCAGGUCAGCAUACUGCCGUGAAUACGUUCCCGGGCCUUGUACACACCGCCCGUCACACCAUGAGAGUUGGGGAUACCCAAAGCCCGUGAGCCAACUUAUAAAGAGGCAGCGGUCUAAGGUAGAAUCAAUGAUUGGGGUGAAGUCGUAACAAGGUAUC